RNAcentral lists this ribosomal RNA (117 nucleotides) under Salvator merianae (Argentine black and white tegu). Lineage: Eukaryota; Metazoa; Chordata; Lepidosauria; Squamata; Teiidae. The record is from RNAcentral.
AUCCCUAGCGUUAAGACUGUUCCUCACCAGUCUUGACUGAUUUUGGAAGCUGAGCAAGUUCUGGCCUACUUAGCACUGGGAUGGAAGACCGCUUGGGAAUACCAGGUGCUGGGAAAU